AACCUUUACACUGUACGCAAGUGCGAUAAGGGGACUCCGAGUGUGAAGGCAUAGAGCCUUCACUUUUGUACACCGUAAGGUGGUGUACGAAUAAGGGCUGGGCAAGACCGGUGCCAGCCGCCGCGGUAAUACCGGCAGCCCGAGUGAUGGCCGAUCUUAUUGGGCCUAAAGCGUCCGUAGCUGGCCGCACAAGUCCAUCGGAAAAUCCACCCGCUCAACGGGUGGGCGUCCGGUGGAAACUGUGUGGCUUGGGACCGGAAGGCGCGACGGGUACGUCCGGGGUAGGAGUGAAAUCCCGUAAUCCUGGACGGACCGCCGAUGGCGAAAGCACGUCGCGAGAACGGAUCCGACAGUGAGGGACGAAAGCUAGGGUCUCGAACCGGAUUAGAUACCCGGGUAGUCCUAGCCGUAAACAAUGCCUGCUAGGUGUGGCUCCCACUACGAGUGGGUGCUGUGCCGUAGGGAAGCCGCUAAGCAGGCCGCCUGGGAAGUACGUCCGCAAGGAUGAAACUUAA
RNAcentral lists this ribosomal RNA (515 nucleotides) under uncultured archaeon. Its description in RNAcentral is "bacterial SSU rRNA". It matches the Rfam family "Archaeal small subunit ribosomal RNA", at positions 345 to 859 of the family's 1478-position model. The record is from RNAcentral.